This 590-nucleotide ribosomal RNA is filed under the name uncultured bacterium. Its description in RNAcentral is "bacterial SSU rRNA". It matches the Rfam family "Bacterial small subunit ribosomal RNA", at positions 338 to 946 of the family's 1533-position model. The record is from RNAcentral.
CCUACGGGAGGCAGCAGUGGGGAAUAUUGGACAAUGGGCGCAAGCCUGAUCCAGCAAUGCCGCGUGAGUGAUGAAGGCCUUAGGGUUGUAAAGCUCUUUUACCAGGGAUGAUAAUGACAGUACCUGGAGAAUAAGCUCCGGCUAACUCCGUGCCAGCAGCCGCGGUAAUACGGAGGGAGCUAGCGUUGUUCGGAAUUACUGGGCGUAAAGCGUACGUAGGCGGUUAUUCAAGUCAGAGGUGAAAGCCCGGGGCUCAACCCCGGAACUGCCUUUGAAACUAGGUAGCUAGAAUCUUGGAGAGGUCAGUGGAAUUCCGAGUGUAGAGGUGAAAUUCGUAGAUAUUCGGAAGAACACCAGUGGCGAAGGCGACUGACUGGACAAGUAUUGACGCUGAGGUACGAAAGCGUGGGGAGCAAACAGGAUUAGAUACCCUGGUAGUCCACGCCGUAAACGAUGAUAACUAGCUGUCCGGUCACUUGGUGACUGGGUGGCGCAGCUAACGCAUUAAGUUAUCCGCCUGGGGAUACGGUCGCAAGNUUAAAACUCAAAGGAAUUGACGGCUGAGCGNGCGAGACGACGACGAGGAGAGG